AAUCGCUUUAUGGCUUUUUUCCAAUUUUCACUUUUCUAGACCAUCAUUUGCUUAUAUGCUGGAUUCUUCUGGUGGGGGAGAGGUUGUGUUCUUAAGGAGCAUUUUGUUUUGUGAUAUUCGGGGUUGGGAGAGGUUUAUUUAACUCUGAGUAUAAUAAAA
Non-coding RNA from Ceratotherium simum simum (southern white rhinoceros), 159 nucleotides. The record is from RefSeq and is a predicted model, not a curated record. NCBI's taxonomy places the organism in Eukaryota, Metazoa, Chordata, Mammalia, Perissodactyla, Rhinocerotidae.